ACCUUUAUGGUGGCUUUUGCCUAGUGUAAAAAGCUAGGCGAAUAAGGGGGGGGCAAGACGGGUGUCAGCCGCCGCGGUAAUACCCGCUCCCCGAGUGGUGGGGACUUUUAUUGGGCUUAAAGCGUCCGUAGCGGGCCUAGUAAGUUUCCCGUUAAAUCCAGUGGCCUAACCACUGGGCUGCGGGAAAUACUGCUAGGCUUGGGGGUGGAAGAAGCCACCGGUACUCCUAGGGUAGGGGUAAAAUCCUCUGAUCCUAGGAGGACCACCAGUGGCGAAGGCGGGUGGCUAGGACACGCCCGACCGUGAGGGACGAAAGCUGGGGGAGCAAACGGGAUUAGAUACCCCGGUAGUCCCAGCUGUAAACGAUGCAGACUAGGUGUAGGAGUGGCUACGGGCCACUCCUGUGCCGAAGGGAAACCAUUAAGUCUGCCGCCUGGGGAGUACGGCCGCAAGGCUGAAACUUAAAGGAAUUGGCGGGGGAGCACCACAAGGGGUGGAUGUUGCGGCUUAAUUGGAGUCAACGCCGGAAACCUUACCAGGGGAGACAGCAGGAUGAAGGCCAGGUUAAAGGCCUUGCCAGACAAGCUGAGAGGAGGUGCAUGGCCGUCGCCAGUGCGUGCCGUGAGGCGUCCUGUUAAUUCAGGCAACGGACGAGACCCCCAUCCCUAGUUGCUACCAGAUACGAAAGUAUCUGGGCACUCUAGGGGGACUGCCGCCGAAAGGCGGAGGAAGGAGGGGGCCACGGCAGGUCAGUAUGCCCCGAAUCCCCUGGGCCGCACGCGACAUUCAAUGGUAGGGACAGUGGGUUCCGACCCCGAAAGGGGAAUGGCAAUCCCUAAACCCUACCUAGGUUGGGAUCGAGGGUUGCAACUC
This 873-nucleotide ribosomal RNA is filed under the name uncultured archaeon. RNAcentral's name for it is "bacterial SSU rRNA". It matches the Rfam family "Archaeal small subunit ribosomal RNA", at positions 390 to 1269 of the family's 1478-position model. The record is from RNAcentral.